GUUGGAUACGGUGGUGCUGUUCCAAAAUCAAUAACUGGAAAAGUGGUUGAUGCAUGUGCUGUAUGUGGUCUUCUAGUAAUCGCAAUGCCAAUUACAACUGUUGCUUCUAAA
RNAcentral lists this small RNA (111 nucleotides) under Mytilus galloprovincialis (Mediterranean mussel). The record is from RNAcentral. Lineage: Eukaryota; Metazoa; Mollusca; Bivalvia; Mytilida; Mytilidae.